This 254-nucleotide ribosomal RNA is filed under the name uncultured bacterium. RNAcentral's name for it is "partial 16S ribosomal RNA". It matches the Rfam family "Bacterial small subunit ribosomal RNA", at positions 524 to 776 of the family's 1533-position model. The record is from RNAcentral.
UACGUAGGUGGCAAGCGUUGUCCGGAUUUAUUGGGCGUAAAGCGCGCGCAGGCGGUCCUUUAAGUUUGGUGUGAAAUCUCCCGGCUCAACCGGGAGGGUGCGCCGAAUACUGAGGGACUUGGAGUGCGGGAGAGGGAAGUGGAAUUCCUGGUGUAGCGGUGAAAUGCGUAGAUAUCAGGAGGAACACCGGUGGUGUAGACGGCUUUCUGGACCGUAACUGACGCUGAGACACGAAAGCGUGGGUAGCAAACAGG